CCUACGGGGGGCUGCAGUGGGGAAUAUUGGACAAUGGGGGCAACCCUGAUCCAGCCAUGCCGCGUGUGUGAAGAAGGCCCUCGGGUUGUAAAGCACUUUCAGUGAGGAAGAACGCCUGGUGGUUAAUACCCAUCAGGAAAGACAUCACUCACAGAAGAAGCACCGGCUAACUCCGUGCCAGCAGCCGCGGUAAUACGGAGGGUGCGAGCGUUAAUCGGAAUUACUGGGCGUAAAGCGCGCGUAGGUGGCUUGAUAAGCCGGUUGUGAAAGCCCCGGGCUCAACCUGGGAACGGCAUCCGGAACUGUCAAGCUAGAGUGCAGGAGAGGUAGGUAGAAUUCCCGGUGUAGCGGUGAAAUGCGUAGAGAUCGGGAGGAAUACCAGUGGCGAAGGCGGCCUUCUGGACUGACACUGACACUGAGGUGCGAAAGCGUGGGUAGCAAACAGGAUUAGAUACCCCAGUAGUC
This 465-nucleotide ribosomal RNA is filed under the name Vreelandella stevensii. Its description in RNAcentral is "partial 16S ribosomal RNA". It matches the Rfam family "Bacterial small subunit ribosomal RNA", at positions 338 to 795 of the family's 1533-position model. Lineage: Bacteria; Pseudomonadati; Pseudomonadota; Gammaproteobacteria; Oceanospirillales; Halomonadaceae. The record is from RNAcentral.